AUUGAACGCUGGCGGCAGGCCUAACACAUGCAAGUCGAACGAGUGGCGGACGGGUGAGUAAUGUCUGGGAAACUGCCUGAUGGAGGGGGAUAACUACUGGAAACGGUAGCUAAUACCGCAUACCAUCGGAUGUGCCCCGAUGAGAUUAGGUAGUAGGUGGGGUAAAGGCUCACCUUGGCGACGAUCCCUAGCUGGGCUGAGAGGAUGACCAGCCACACUGGAACUGAGACACGGUCCAGACUCCUACGGGAUGCAGCAGUGGGGAAUAUUGCACAAGGGGCGCAAGCCUGCUACAGACAUGCCGCGUGUAUGAAGAAGGCCUUCGGGUUGUAAAGUACUUUCAGCGGGGAGGCGUUACCCGCAGAAGAAGCACCGGCUAACUCCGUGCCAGCAGCCGCGGUAAUUC
This 406-nucleotide ribosomal RNA is filed under the name uncultured bacterium. RNAcentral's name for it is "partial 16S ribosomal RNA". It matches the Rfam family "Bacterial small subunit ribosomal RNA", at positions 30 to 526 of the family's 1533-position model. The record is from RNAcentral.